Molecule: ribosomal RNA, 484 nt
Filed under: uncultured bacterium
Lineage: Bacteria
Description: partial 16S ribosomal RNA
Rfam family: Bacterial small subunit ribosomal RNA
Source: RNAcentral
AUUGAACGCUGGCGGCAGGCCUAACACAUGCAAGUCGAGCGGAUGAAGGGAGCUUGCUCCUGGAUUCAGCGGCGGACGGGUGAGUAAUGCCUAGGAAUCUGCCUGGUAGUGGGGGAUAACGUCCGGAAACGGGCGCUAAUACCGCAUACGUCCUGAGGGAGAAAGUGGGGGAUCUUCGGACCUCACGCUAUCAGAUGAGCCUAGGUCGGAUUAGCUAGUUGGUGGGGUAAAGGCCUACCAAGGCGACGAUCCGUAACUGGUCUGAGAGGAUGAUCAGUCACACUGGAACUGAGACACGGUCCAGACUCCUACGGGAGGCAGAAGUGGGGAAUAUUGGACAAUGGGCGAAAGCCUGAUCCAGCCAUGCCGCGUGUGUGAAGAAGGUCUUCGGAUUGUAAAGCACUUUAAGUUGGGAGGAAGGGCAGUAAGUUAAUAACUUGCUGUUUUGACGUUACAAACAGAAUAAGCACCGGCUAACUUCGUG